Molecule: ribosomal RNA, 256 nt
Filed under: uncultured bacterium
Lineage: Bacteria
Description: partial 16S ribosomal RNA
Rfam family: Bacterial small subunit ribosomal RNA
Source: RNAcentral
UACGUAGGGGGCGAGCGUUGUCCGGAAUCAUUGGGCGUAAAGCGCGUGUAGGCGGCUCGGUAAGUCCGGUGUGAAACCUUGGGGCUCAACCCCAAGCCUGCACUGGAUACUGUCGAGCUUGAGUCCGGGAGGGGAGAGCGGAAUUCCUAGUGUAGCGGUGAAAUGCGCAGAUAUUAGGAAGAACACCGGUGGCGAAGGCGGCUCUCUGGAACGGUACUGACGGCUGAGACGGCGAAAAGCGUGGGGAGCGAACAGG